This 1326-nucleotide unclassified non-coding RNA is filed under the name Hevea brasiliensis (rubber tree). The record is from RNAcentral. Lineage: Eukaryota; Viridiplantae; Streptophyta; Magnoliopsida; Malpighiales; Euphorbiaceae.
GGAUAUCUCUUCACGGAGGCGCUCAUAUUGAUCUACAAUCAACACUUGGCAUUGCGAGCUUACAAAUUACUUCGCCAAUAAUCUUUACUUAUCAAGAACUAGCAGAGGCAACAAAUCAUUUCUCUAACAAAUACAUGCUUGGAGAAAGUGGUUUUGGUAUAGUUUAUAAGGGAUCCCUUGGAAAUAAUGGGAUCGUUGCAAUUAAGAAGCUUAAAUAUCUUGGCGAAGAACAAAGCACAAGUGAAUUUGAGGAAGAGAUUAAGGCCAUUAGCCGCAUCUGUUACCAACAUCUUGUCAAGCUUAUUGGAUACUGCAUUGAAGGAUUCAAUAGAUUGCUUGUUUCUGAGUUUGUUCCCAACAAGUCCUUGCGAUUUCAUUUACAUGAAAAUAUGAGAGAAACUAUCAGUUGGUCAACCAGAAUGACAAUUGCCAAAGAUAUUGCAAAAGGAUUGACAUAUUUACAUGAAUGGUAUAAGCCGAAAAUCAUACAUGGAAAUAUUAAGGCGGAUAACAUUCUUCUUGAUAAUACUUUUGAACCUAAGAUUUCAGAUUAUGGAUUAGCCAAAGAGAAUGUGGACCUUUCAGAUUCUUAUAUUCCCACUAUCUAUAAUUUGAAAGGAAAUUCGGGUUAUUUGGCUCCUGAGUAUAUCAAUGAUAGGAAGCUUACGGAUAAGUGUGAUGUCUUUUCCUUUGGUAUCAUACUUCUGGAGUUGAUUACUGGAAAAAGAGCUGUUGAAAAUGAAGGUGGUUUUCACAAUAGCUUGUCUAUUAGGGCAGUGCCUCUACUCAAACGAGCUUUGGACAAAGGCAAUUAUAAUGAUAUUAUUGAUGCCAAAAUACAAGGCGUAUAUAAUGAAGAUGAAAUGAUUAGAAUGAUUUACUGUGCUGCAUCUUGUGUGUAUAAACCAGCGGAUUAUCGCCCACGAAUGAGUCAGAUACUUGAAGUCCUACAAGGGAAUGUCCCUAAGGAAAGCAUAUGGUUAAGCAAUGACAACACUUACCUUUACCUUGGAGCACCGUUUGUACAUACCAAAUAGGAAAGUUCUUAGAUAUAUUAGGGUGUAAAUUAUUUUAUACACCCAAUCAAUGAAAAAAUCAUGUUUUAUAAUAGAACUUACCAUAUUUUAUUAUAGAAUCCGCCAUUAUUUUAGGUCAAUUCUUAAUGAGGUGGAUACAUCCAAGGUGUAGACAAGAAUCACUCACCCAUUGAAAUUUUAGGUUUAGAACUCUACCCAAGGUCUGCUGAGUUGAUAAGGCUCCUCAAAUGCAAUUAAUAUUACCAUCUCUUUUCAUAUAUCCUCAUCAAUAUGUAUUGUUUUUUUCCGG